This 1397-nucleotide long non-coding RNA is filed under the name Homo sapiens (human). RNAcentral describes it as "long independently transcribed non-coding RNA 1911, transcript variant 6 (LINC01911)". Lineage: Eukaryota; Metazoa; Chordata; Mammalia; Primates; Hominidae. The record is from RNAcentral.
ACUGGAUAACUGAAUUCUAGAAUUCAAGCCUGAUGUCAUAGUUCCAUGAGAAUUUUAUGAGAAGGAAAAGGAUGUUGUACAUGGGCAGAAAGGUGAAAAUUGUGGCCAGAGGCAGAUUGUGGUAAAUUACAAAAUUGGCUCAUAAUCCUUUAUUCCUUCUUGCCUCCAUGCUCUUUGCAAUGUGACUUUGCCACUUUUCUCAUUAAGAGAUGGAUUCUGUUCUCCAUUGCCUUCUGUCUGGACUGGUCUUGUAACUUGUUCUGGUUAAUACAGAGGUAAAUGUGAUGACACAUCAGAAGCCCAGGCCUCAAGCAAGCUUUCCCACUUGUUCUCUUGGAACCCUUCCCAGCUAUCAGACACUACUGGCAAAGACAUUGAAAAGAAUCACACUGCUAAACCAGUAGCAGCUUUUAUCUUCUUCUCAGAUUGUAUACAUGCAGGAUAAAAGUGUUUCUAACACAUAGACUUCUAUAUUCCAGCAUAAAGAUGUAUUAGGCGCAUUUAUACUUUUACAUCGAAGCCUGUUUCAACAUGAACGGAGCCCAGGCAAGUGUCCUUGUCAUCAAUCGAGAGUGAAAGUUAGCUAUACUUAAAAAAAAAAUAGGUUUUAAAAAAUAUCAAAAUAAUUAGAAAAGAGUUUCAACUAAUAACAUACUUACUAUUUGUAUUCCAUUUUGACAGUACCAUGUUAGAUCAAUGACUUCAUUUAUCACAAUAUAUUCCAUGUUACAGUUACCUCUCAGGAAAAUGACAUUGAUAGAGUCAACUUUCUUGAGAAUUAAGCUUCUGUAACUUUUAUUUAAAGGUGUCUCAAGCUUGUGCUUCUUAGUAUUUUAUGAUAUGUCUUUAGUUUUUGUAAUUUCACUUUGUCAAAACAUUACAUUUGUCAUUAUUCAUACUGAAAGACAAGGUAUUUUGAAGAUAAAAAUCUACCAAGGAUCAUCUACCAUUUGCUUUUGAUAUAAAAGAUUUAUAAGACCAUUUAGACCACAAAAACAAACCUUCCUAAGGACAUAUCUAUACAUCAACAAAUAUUAAAAAUUACAUUUCUAGGAAAUUAAAAACAAUUUAGAAAGGUGCUUAGUUGAACAGAAAUUAGCUACAACCAAAAUAAUGAUUAAUAUUAUAACCAUAAUCAUAGAAAAUAACAGUUGAUUGCCACUUUCAAGAAUAAAAGCAAAUUCUGUGAAUACAGAACUAAAAUACUAAAAAUAAACAAACAAGCUUGGGAGAGAUUAGUCAUGCAAAAUCCAACCCUAGAUAUUUGAUGGCAAUUAUCUUAAUUUUUUACCUUAUAAUUGAGAUGGUAUUUCACUGGCAAAGCUUAAACCAAGUAAUAUUCACAAAAAUGGAAGAAAUUCAUAAUUAAAGAAAGUCAUUAAGCAAAACAGAAAAAA